UUGAAAUCGUUGCAGAUAAUUUAACCGUACGAUGAUUGAACAGAUCAGGUUUAUUGUUAACAAGCAAAGCACAACAGGUCGGAUAGUUGCAAUUUCCCAGGUGUCCUGAAGCAGCGCAAGGACGAGGCUCCGUAUCCAAAUGUUUAGCAAGCCCUUCCUGCUGUGUUUGCUUCAAACAGAGUAGGAGCCACGAUGCAGUUUCUCAGCUCAUAAUUUGCCGACAAAGCGAGGUGAAAAUCUGUCAUUCCCAAGCAACUACAGUAUCCAAGCCACAAGGUUCUACUCUUCUCCCGGUAGUCCGAAGUCCUGCACCGUGACAUUGCUCUACUGCCUGCUUGAGUAUGCAUAAUAGACACCCCCCCCCGGUGAUUGAUGCCCAGGGAAGGGGAGAGGAAAUCUAUCCCCGGGUUGCGGCGUAGACUGUUGAUGUGUGACCCCGCAGAGGCCGGAGCACAGCUGAUGGGUCGCGGGCUCCGGAGAACUCGGAAGACAGAUGAGGCUGUGAGAGUUCCAAAUGGGAAAAAAGGCAAAUGUUCUUCUUCUUUGUUUUUUAUCACAUGGGGAGAAAAAAUGGCAGC
Syngnathoides biaculeatus (alligator pipefish) is the source of this 578-nucleotide long non-coding RNA. RefSeq lists it as uncharacterized. The record is from RefSeq and is a predicted model, not a curated record. NCBI's taxonomy places the organism in Eukaryota, Metazoa, Chordata, Actinopteri, Syngnathiformes, Syngnathidae. The transcript is spliced from 3 exons.